AUUGAACGCUGGCGGCAGGCUUAACACAUGCAAGUCGAGCGGGGUGAUGGUGCUUGCACUAUCACUUAGCGGCGGACGGGUGAGUAAUGCUUAGGAAUCUGCCUAUUAGUGGGGGACAACAUCUCGAAAGGGAUGCUAAUACCGCAUACGUCCUACGGGAGAAAGCAGUGGAUCACUUGUGACCUUGCGCUAAUAGAUGAGCCUAAGUCGGAUUAGCUAGUUGGUGGGGUAAAGGCCUACCAAGGCGACGAUCUGUAGCGGGUCUGAGAGGAUAAUCCGCCACACUGGGACUGAGACACGGCCCAGACUCCUACGGGAGGCAGCAGUGGGGAAUAUUGGACAAUGGGGGGAACCCUGAUCCAGCCAUGCCGCGUGUGUGAAGAAGGCCUUAUGGUUGUAAAGCACUUUAAGCGAGGAGGAGGCUCUUUUGGUUAAUACCCAAGAUGAGUGGACGUUACUCGCAGAAUAAGCACCGGCUAACUCUGUGCCAGCAGCCGCGGUAA
Molecule: ribosomal RNA, 503 nt
Filed under: uncultured bacterium
Lineage: Bacteria
Description: partial 16S ribosomal RNA
Rfam family: Bacterial small subunit ribosomal RNA
Source: RNAcentral